GAGUUUGAUCCUGGCUCAGGAUGAACGCCGGCGGUGUGCCUAAUACAUGCAAGUCGAACGCGUUGGCCCAACUGAUUGAACGUGCUUGCACGGACUUGACGUUGGUUUACCAGCGAGUGGCGGACGGGUGAGUAACACGUAGGUAACCUGCCCCAAAGCGGGGGAUAACAUUUGGAAACAGAUGCUAAUACCGCAUAACAGUUUGAAUCGCAUGAUUCAAACUUAAAAGAUGGUUUCGGCUAUCACUUUGGGAUGGACCUGCGGCGCAUUAGCUUGUUGGUAGGGUAACGGCCUACCAAGGCUGUGAUGCGUAGCCGAGUUGAGAGACUGAUCGGCCACAAUGGAACUGAGACACGGUCCAUACUCCUACGGGAGGCAGCAGUAGGGAAU
This 390-nucleotide ribosomal RNA is filed under the name uncultured bacterium. RNAcentral's name for it is "bacterial SSU rRNA". It matches the Rfam family "Bacterial small subunit ribosomal RNA", at positions 9 to 362 of the family's 1533-position model. The record is from RNAcentral.